CGAUGAGGUAGAGGUGCAGGACAUAUCAGUAUCGGGAACGAGCGUGACAGCGAAGAGCCCCCGGGAAAGGAUGCCCUGCCGAAGUAUGGACGGAUCGUCAUACCUUCCAUGCUGGUACAUGUUUGAAUAAAAGAUGUACUGUCAUGCAUGUUACAUGCAUGGUGCGCUACUGAUCGC
Molecule: non-coding RNA, 177 nt
Filed under: Salimicrobium jeotgali
Lineage: Bacteria; Bacillati; Bacillota; Bacilli; Caryophanales; Bacillaceae
Description: Lysine sequence
Rfam family: Lysine riboswitch aptamer
About the family: Riboswitches are metabolite binding domains within certain messenger RNAs that serve as precision sensors for their corresponding targets. Allosteric rearrangement of mRNA structure is mediated by ligand binding, and this results in modulation of gene expression. This family includes riboswitches that sense lysine in a number of genes involved in lysine metabolism, including lysC.
Source: Rfam by way of RNAcentral